RNAcentral lists this ribosomal RNA (484 nucleotides) under uncultured bacterium. RNAcentral describes it as "partial 16S ribosomal RNA". It matches the Rfam family "Bacterial small subunit ribosomal RNA", at positions 30 to 507 of the family's 1533-position model. The record is from RNAcentral.
AUUGAACGCUGGCGGCAGGCCUAACACAUGCAAGUCGAGCGGAUGAAGGGAGCUUGCUCCUGGAUUCAGCGGCGGACGGGUGAGUAAUGCCUAGGAAUCUGCCUGGUAGUGGGGGAUAACGUCCGGAAACGGGCGCUAAUACCGCAUACGACCUGAGGGAGAAAGUGGGGGAUCUUCGGACCUCACGCUAUCAGCUGAGCCUAGGUCGGAUUAGCUAGUUGGUGGGGUAAAGGCCUACCAAGGCGACGAUCCGUAACUGGUCUGAGAGGAUGAUCAGUCACACUGGAACUGAGACACGGUCCAGACUCCUACGGGAGGCAGCAGUGGGGAAUAUUGGACAAUGGGCGAAAGCCUGAUCCAGCCAUGCCGCGUGUGUGAAGAAGGUCUUCGGAUUGUAAAGCACUUUAAGUUGGGAGGAAGGGCAGUAAGUUAAUACCUUGCUGUUUUGACGUUACCAACAGAAUAAGCACCGGCUAACUUCGUG